Glycine soja is the source of this 2645-nucleotide RNA transcript. It is a transcript of the gene named serine/threonine-protein kinase AFC2-like, with no coding region annotated. The transcript is spliced from 12 exons. The record is from RefSeq and is a predicted model, not a curated record. Lineage: Eukaryota; Viridiplantae; Streptophyta; Magnoliopsida; Fabales; Fabaceae.
CGAGAUUAGGGUUCCUGAAGCUGAGGCACUAUCUUCCCAAAAGAAUACAAAUCUCUUUGAAGUUUUCGUAGUUCUCUGAAUCAUGGAGAUGGAACGCGUCUUCGAAUUUCCUCACACUUACAUGGAUCGUCGCCCGAGAAAGAGAGCGAGAUUGGGCUGGGACAUCCCUGAAGUUCCCAAGGCUCAGGUAGGAUUGUUUUGUGGACAAGAUGUUGGGACUAUUUCAAGCUUUGCUCCUUCAAGGGGUCCCUCAGAACAUACCACUAGUUCUCUAUUUGUUAAGCCAGUUGCUCGAAAUGGUUCUCCCCCUUGGCGAGAUGAUGACAAAGAUGGGCAUUACAUGUUUACGCUUGGAGAAAAUUUAACUUCUCGCUAUAAGAUCCAUACCAAAAUGGGUGAAGGAACUUUUGGGCAGGUCUUAGAAUGCUGGGAUAGAGAAAGGAAGGAAAUGGUUGCCGUAAAAAUUGUCCGUGGUAUAAAGAAGUAUCGAGAAGCAGCCAUGAUAGAAAUUGAGGUGUUGCAACAGCUUGGUAAACAUGAUAAAGGAGGCAAUCGUUGUGUGCAAAUACGGAACUGGUUUGACUAUCGUAAUCAUAUCUGUAUUGUGUUUGAGAAACUUGGACCAAGCUUAUACGAUUUUCUUCGGAAAAACAAUUAUCGCUCAUUUCCCAUUGAUCUUGUCCGUGAGAUUGGCAAACAACUAUUGGAAUGUAUAGCAUUCAUGCAUGAUUUGCGCAUGAUUCAUACUGACCUGAAGCCUGAAAACAUACUACUAGUUUCACCCGAGUAUGUCAAAGUUCCUGACUACAAGAGUUCAUCUAGAUCAUCAUGUUCCUAUUUCAAGAGAGUUCCCAAAUCAAGUGCUAUAAAGGUUAUUGAUUUUGGCAGCACCACUUAUGAGCGAGAAGAUCAGAACUACAUUGUAUCAACUCGUCAUUAUAGGGCUCCUGAAGUUAUCCUUGGACUUGGCUGGAGCUAUCCAUGUGAUAUAUGGAGUGUGGGAUGUAUAUUGGUUGAAUUAUGCACAGGUGAAGCUUUGUUUCAGACUCAUGAAAAUUUAGAGCAUCUUGCAAUGAUGGAAAGGGUACUUGGUUCAUUACCACAGACCAUGAUGAAGAGAGUCGACCGACAUGCUGAGAAGUAUGUUAGAAGGGGUAGAUUAGACUGGCCUGAGGGUGCAACCUCGAGGGAGAGUAUCAAAGCUGUAAUGAAGCUUCCUAGGCUUCAGAACCUUGUAAUGCAGCAUGUAGAUCAUUCAGCUGGCGAUCUCAUACAUCUCUUGCAGGGGUUACUUAGAUAUGACCCCUCUGAAAGACUUACAGCCAAGGAAGCUCUUAGACAUUCCUUCUUUAUGAGAGAACACUUUAGAAGAUGAUUCACUUUCUUAACUGCUGCAUCAUUGACCUUCCUAAGGAUUUGAAGAUGUGGGCAAAUGAACUCACCUGUGUGAUGGCUAGUUUUUCUGCAGCUGUCCUCUCCCCAAUGCUAUGCUGAAAAAUCCUUAUGUAGGAAUUUUUGAAUGGAUCUGGAUUCGAUGUACAGAAGAAAAAAAAAAUGCUAAUGUUAUGGUGAAAAUUGUAGAUUUUACGGGCAUGAUUCAUAUGGCAUCCUGAGCUUUGUGUGCACGAGUAUAAGUCUCCAUUCGAGUGUACCGCACACACAUGAUAUAUUAGACACGAUUGACAAGUCACGGGAAGCUUCUAUUCAUAGCAGAGAUAUGGCAGCGACGCAAGAGCGGGAAGCUUCCAUGAUGAGGCAAUGUAUUUAGCAGACCUCAGCUGUUGCUAUAAUGGGGGAGGCAUCGCAGCAAUAUGAUGCGAUAAUAGCACAAAACCAAUCAUAACUAAUAAGAAAAGAAUAUCAAAUCUUUGGCAUUGCAUUUGGUGAAUAUGGGAGAAAGUUGAGACUAAUUUAGUUCGCAGGUGGACAGUGUUGACAAAAUAAGUUAUAGUCUGACCUCGGGCUGCAAAAUAGAGAGGUCUUUUAAACCUUUUUUGCCUCUUAGCAACUGGUCAACUUCAUGAGUAUCAACAAGAUAAGGUCCUUAAUAAUUUUGUGCUGCAAAAUGGAGAUUGGGAUUUUCAAAGCUUUGAUAAUUGUCUUCUCAUUCUAGUUUGCAACCAAAUCCAUGGAGAUUGGGAUUUUCAAAGCUUUGAUAAUUGUCUUCUCAUUCUAGUUUGCAACCAAAUCCAAGCUAUGGUGCUUUCCUCUCUGUUACUUGAUGAAGAUCGUUUGGCUUGGAGAUGAUCAAAUGAUGGGAUCCCAACUAUAUAUGAUCGAGAAAUUGCUCGUUCAACUCUUACCAACUAUAAAGAAGGAGCAAUUUCUCGAUCAUAUAUACCUGGAGUGGUCCCAAUGAUGAAAUUGUUGCUUUGGAAAAUUGCUAAAAUCUCCCAAUGAUGAAUCGUGCCCUAUAUGCUAAUGUACUGUGGAAGAACUUCAAUUCGUGCUAUAAUAUAUGGCAUGCUGGCCAAAGAAGUGUGAACCUCACUCCUUGAGAAUAAUUCAGAUGCUGACAUUUUCGUGAAUCUUAUGGACCUUUGGUUACAAUCAAAUUUAUUGAAGGAUAGUCAGUGGAGUUUAAUUUUGGGAUUAACAUCUCCAGCAUGAAGUUUGUUGAACAUUUGCACGUAGUCCAAUAACGG